GUUAUCAAUCAAAUAAAAAAUAUUCAAAGAUUAUUCUGAUAUUUAGUUUCUGUUUAUAUAUAGUGAGUAUUAAGUAAACCAUGUGAUUUGAAUGAUCGAACAAUAAUGAAAGAGUCAAUGAAUCAAAAUUUGAGAGAUAGGUUAGCACGCUACCCGUUUCAUUUAUUUCAUUUUGAAAUAAACUUAGUUGGAAAUGUGAAUUAACUAGGAUUCGAACUUGGGUCUCGGAUACCAACCACCAAGUCCUUUGCCAUUUGCUCUAGGAACGGUCGGUCCGUAGAAUGUAUAUAUUUAAUAGAAUGUAUAUAUUUGGAGGGAGUAUUACGAUAUUUUCAAUCUUUUGAAGGAUGCCGGUGAAAUUAACCCAAUAACUUUA
This 376-nucleotide long non-coding RNA is filed under the name Ananas comosus (pineapple). Its description in RNAcentral is "long non-coding RNA (ACOM_LNC011259)". The record is from RNAcentral. Lineage: Eukaryota; Viridiplantae; Streptophyta; Magnoliopsida; Poales; Bromeliaceae.